This is a long non-coding RNA of Trifolium pratense (red clover), 2284 nucleotides long. RefSeq lists it as uncharacterized. Lineage: Eukaryota; Viridiplantae; Streptophyta; Magnoliopsida; Fabales; Fabaceae. The record is from RefSeq and is a predicted model, not a curated record. The transcript is spliced from 8 exons.
GAAAAAAAGAACUCCGAAGAAGUUGGAUGAUUUACACUACACUGUUGACAGCUUCAUUUCAUUUCAAUUCUAACUUUCCCUCUUCUCUCACUUCGUUCAUCAUUUCCUUUGCCACCGUCUUUUCUCCGAUCCUUUGCCACCGCAACGAUUUCGCUUCCAACUAUCACCGGCAAGCAAACUCACACUAUCCGCCACAGCAGCGGUGAGCUAUGACCCUAUCCGGAUUGUUCUGAUUCUACAUUCUCCUCUUCACUUUCUAUUUCUCAGUUCCAACACUUCACCUUCAUUUCAAGUUCAAUUUUUCCACUUCUUUCAUUCAAAAAUCACCAAUUUCUCCCAUAAACCAUACACUCUAGAAGAAAAUUUUACAUAUAAGUCCUUCAAGUAAUUUUGGAUAUGAUUUUGGGGUUGGGGUUAGUGCUCAAAGGAAGAAGAAGAGAACCCAUCUCUUGAAAGUUGUUCAUGGAUACUCCUUGAGAUUCAGUGGAAAUUGCUUCGGUGAUCAUUCCGGAAGGCAUUGCUAGGAACGAAGUUGAUUCGUCAUAGUUAUUCAAAGUCACUGAAUAGAAAGCUUCUAGCAGAGUUAAAGAUCUGUCGAUGUCACUCUUUUGAUUUAAGCAUUGCAAAACAUGUUUGAGUAUCUUCUUGAUUCUGAAAGCAAAAUGGAAACAAAGUAGAUGGUAAUGAUGUCCCUGGUCACUCUGUCAGAGUUGGGCACAAUGUACCUGUUGCUGCUGGUGCUGGGGAUACAAACAUAUGCAGGGGGUUAUAAUUCAGUUGUAAUGGGAUAGAUUUCAACGAACAUGUUCGACAGUCAACUUUGAAGAUUGAUCAAGUUGUGCUGCGCCAAGGUCUUGUUCAUCCGAUCACCUGUGUUCCACAUCAUAUAGCGCUAGAAACAGACCUUCUGAGAAGUAAUCUCCUAUAUAUAAUUUUGGAUGGUAUAAUUCACAUCAACUAAGUUCUAUUAUCUAUGAUGAUCCCUGUUUCUGGAAAAAGGAAACCUGAGGCUGACUUGUUCACUCAAUCAAGAGUUGGUGUUUCUCGAAUAUACAAGCUUAUCGAGGGAACCGGAUAUCAAGGAACAACUUUAUGUCCUCAAAUGUGCGAAAAUUUGAUACUACAAGAUUGACCAAAUUUGUAAUAGCUUUCUUAACGUACUGCACAGAGGUCCUUGCCUUGCUUCCAUUUGUUGCACCUGAUGAACCACUUUAUUUAAUCUAUGCUAUCAAUCCAGUAGUUCAGGUUAGGGCUGGUCCACUGGAGGCGAACUUCAAAUCCUGGAUUUCAAGCAUGUUACAAAGUGAGGGUGACGGUACACCUCAUGGGAAUGGAAUGUAUCAACAGGCGUCAAAUGAACCUAUUCAUACAACCCAAGUCCAGUCAAUGGACUUAAAUGGCACAUUUUAGAAAAAUGUAGAUGUUCAGCCCUACCUCAAUGAUACGACAUCAGUGGAUUUAAAUGGAACAAAUCACCAAUUGCCAGAUUAGCCUUUAUCGCAUAAUGGUAGAUCAAAAGUAAAGCUACAUGCUGCAGGUUUUGCAGAUUCCUUUACCCUCUCAAAACAUGAUCUGGAGAAAGUUCAGGCUGACUAUUUAUCUGCGAUUGCAUUGCAACUUCUUUUAAAGCUAAAGAGACACCUAAAACUCAUGUAUAGUCUCGAUGAUGCCAGAUGUAAGGUGAAACUAUAUAAUUCACAAUUAUCAUAACUAAUUCACCUACCGGGAUGAGAUGCCUAACUGUCCUCUAUCUUUGGGAUGGUUUCCUAUUUUUGUUUAGGCUCCAAACGAGCCACCAAAACCUGGAGAUGUUUUUUCAAGACUGAAUGUUCCAUUUAAUAUUGGUGAAUCUCUGUUCAGUUUGCCUGCAUAUAUCUGCAAGAAUUAAUGCAAAGAAUAUCAGGAGUUUAAGAAUGCAAUGCAUUGAAGGACACAGUGGAUUAUUCACUCUACACAGCAGAUAUAGAACGGAAGUGACAAACACUCUGAAAUGUUCGGAAAUCUGGACCGAUGGUAGGUUCUGAUAUUGCUGAAGGCGACAAUGAGGAUAGGGCUGGUGCAAUGCGCAAUAUAGUGGCAACAUUCUUUUUUAUGGAAAAUUCAUCUUAGCCAUCCAAAUCAUGUUUUGAUUGUUUUCUUUGAUUUUGUUUCAGUUGCACAUAAUUUGUUGUCUAUUCAUUAUUAUUUAGUAAAGUUUGGUUUACUAAAUCAGUUGCACAUAAUUUCACCUAAGAUUCUUUGUUGUUAUGGCUUAAAUUCUAAUGUUAUGCUUUUUCACAAUAGA